AAGUUGGGUGGAAAUAUAUUAUGAAUUGUUUUAAGGAUCAAAUUGGUCAUACAUUAACGAAAGCAUAAUUAAAGAAUAAGUGGGACAAAAUUAAAAAAGAUUAGAGAAUAUGAAAAAAUGUUGAUUUCCAAAACAAGAGUAGGGUGGAGUGCUGAACUUGGAACAAUUGCGGCUUCUGAUGAAUGGUGGAAAGCUAAAAACCAGGAGAUACAUGGAGCAAGAAAGUUGAGGCAUGUUGGCAUCGAUCCAACAUUAUGUUGUCAAUAUAAUAUCAUGUUUAUAAACAUUGUUGCUACCGGUCAAUAUGCUUAGCCUCCAUCACAAGGUCUGAAUUUUGAUGAAGAUGGUGUCGGUCAAAGGCAAAUUAACAUAGUUAAUGAGGACACUCAUCUUCAGGAAGGUAAUGGAGAUUAUGAGGAGGAUAGUCUACUAAAUUUUGUUGUCAAUGUCAAUAAUAUGGUGGCUAGUGUCAAUUUUACCAACAACACAAGCAAUCUCACUGGUAGUAAUGGGAAGAGAAAAGGUGUGCACCAAAGUUCCCAA
Molecule: long non-coding RNA, 543 nt
Organism: Populus euphratica (Euphrates poplar)
Lineage: Eukaryota; Viridiplantae; Streptophyta; Magnoliopsida; Malpighiales; Salicaceae
Exons: 2
Source: RefSeq, a predicted model, not a curated record